AUCUCUCUAAAUUAACAAGUCAGUAAAUUAAUUGAGUUAGCAGAUUUUGCGGUUACCAAAGCAAAAAAAGAAAAAAGAUGAAGGGAACUAAAAAGUGGAGAAGAGGAUAAGGGGUGUGCCAACCCUUUCAAAUAUUGCUACUGCUGAGGGUAGAUCUUUUCUAGGCAUGGAAGGAAGCCUAAGCCUUGAAUGCCAGGGGCCUCUACCCUGAAGUUUUACAGAGUUGGACCUUAUCUUCUACCUUUGGAUGAUACUUCCUCCUUAUUAAGGUAUGUGGACCUAGAAGUGGUGGU
Molecule: long non-coding RNA, 293 nt
Filed under: Elaeis guineensis (African oil palm)
Lineage: Eukaryota; Viridiplantae; Streptophyta; Magnoliopsida; Arecales; Arecaceae
Description: long non-coding RNA (EGUI_LNC012061)
Source: RNAcentral